Molecule: ribosomal RNA, 434 nt
Filed under: uncultured Oscillospiraceae bacterium
Lineage: Bacteria; Bacillati; Bacillota; Clostridia; Eubacteriales; Oscillospiraceae
Description: bacterial SSU rRNA
Rfam family: Bacterial small subunit ribosomal RNA
Source: RNAcentral
ACGGAAGGCAGCAGUGGGGAAUAUUGGGCAAUGGGCGCAAGCCUGGCCCAGCAAUGCCGCGUGAAGGAAGAAGGCUUUCGGGUUGUAAACUUCUUUUAAGUGGGACGAUAAUGACGGUACCACUUGAAUAAGCUCCGGCUAACUACGUGCCAGCAGCCGCGGUAAUACGUAGGGAGCAAGCGUUAUCCGGAUUUACUGGGUGUAAAGGGCGUGUAGGCGGGACAUCAGGUCAGAUGUGAAAGCACGAGGCUCAACUUCGUGUCUGCAUUUGAAACUGACGUUCUUGAGUGUUGGAGAGGCUAACGGAACUCCUAGUGUAGCGGUGAAAUGCGUAGAUAUUAGGAAGAACACCAGUGGCGAAGGCGGUUAGCUGGACAAUAACUGACGCUGAGGCGCGAAAGCGUGGGUAGCAAACAGGAUUAGAUACCCUGGUA